AGAGUUUGGAUUCAUCAACAUUAGAGAACUAGUCACCUGAGUUGGUCCUGCUAUAGGAAUGUCUACCUGUGGAACAGUCAGGUUGGAAAGGAUUCCAAAGCUCAAUGAACUCCAAGAAGAAUAAACACAAAGAGAAAUACAACUAGUCACAUCACAGUAUAACUGCUGAAACACAAAGAACAAGUCUUGAAAGCAGCAAGAGAAAAAUGACUCAUCAUUUACAGAGAAACAACUUAUGAAAAUGUAUUGAAGUCAAGAAGGCCAUGGAAUUACCAGUUAAAUGCAGAAAGAAAAAACACUGUGCUUUGUACCAGGUGAUGGAAGCAGUUCAUGCAUUUGGCCUCUCCCCAGAGGGCCUGUGACCUGAAAUUCAGUUCACCUUGUGUUGCUGCCUCAGCUCUCUGAUAGA
This is a long non-coding RNA of Molossus molossus (Pallas's mastiff bat), 409 nucleotides long. RefSeq lists it as uncharacterized. The transcript is spliced from 3 exons. NCBI's taxonomy places the organism in Eukaryota, Metazoa, Chordata, Mammalia, Chiroptera, Molossidae. The record is from RefSeq and is a predicted model, not a curated record.